UUGAAUUUUGCUGGAAACUGUAUGGCUU
Molecule: small RNA, 28 nt
Filed under: Bombyx mori (domestic silkworm)
Lineage: Eukaryota; Metazoa; Arthropoda; Insecta; Lepidoptera; Bombycidae
Description: ovarian small RNA-37663
Source: RNAcentral